RNAcentral lists this ribosomal RNA (377 nucleotides) under Mantidactylus noralottae. Its description in RNAcentral is "partial 16S ribosomal RNA". It matches the Rfam family "Bacterial large subunit ribosomal RNA", at positions 2053 to 2597 of the family's 2925-position model. Lineage: Eukaryota; Metazoa; Chordata; Amphibia; Anura; Mantellidae. The record is from RNAcentral.
GUGAAGAAGCGGGAAUAUUUUAAUAAGACGAGAAGACCCCAUGGAGCUUCAAACCCAAUUACACCCCUAACCCCUAUAACUACUUAACCCUUAGGGCUUUGUAUCAUUGGUUUUAGGUUGGGGCGACCAAGGAGUACAACAAAACCUCCACAAUGAACGGAACUACUCCCUUAUCUAAGAGCUACACCUCUAGGAAUUAAUACAUUAACAUAAAAUGAUCCAUUUUUGAUCAAUGAACCAAGUUACCCUGGGGAUAACAGCGCAAUCCAUUUCAAGAGCCCCUAUCGACAAAUGGGUUUACGACCUCGAUGUUGGAUCAGGGUAUCCUAGUGGUGCAGCAGCUACUAAAGGUUCGUUUGUUCAACGAUCAAAACCCU